AAAGGAAGUAAGGAAAUUAAAUAUUAAAAUAAAUAACAAGAAUGAUUUCACUAAAAAGAGGCUCAAAAUCAUCAUAAGAACGAUUAAUAAAAUACUAGGAAGAAUUAAUAUCAUAAGAUAUAAUCAGUCUUCGACUAAACGAUAACUAGAAAAUUUUUACUUUUAAUACAUAUUAUAUUUUUUUGUAUUAUUGGCACCACUAAAUUUUAUGUUUAGAGCGCCGCUUUUGUAACGUGUAGGCACUGAAGAUUUGGCCUGAAAACCCAGUAAACCAUAGACUAGGAGAUUAGAAGU
This 294-nucleotide unclassified non-coding RNA is filed under the name Hevea brasiliensis (rubber tree). Lineage: Eukaryota; Viridiplantae; Streptophyta; Magnoliopsida; Malpighiales; Euphorbiaceae. The record is from RNAcentral.